UCAGUUGACUCUGGAGAGAGGUUAGGCGGAUACGUUUAGCCCACCGAAGAGGCAAGAGGGCAAAAGCUCUUAAACUUUCAGGUUUUGGACAGAGGGGCGGCA
This 102-nucleotide non-coding RNA is filed under the name Cycloclasticus sp. P1. RNAcentral describes it as "Glycine riboswitch aptamer". It matches the Rfam family "Glycine riboswitch aptamer". From Rfam's summary of the family: This family represents the bacterial glycine riboswitch. Glycine riboswitches usually consist of two metabolite-binding aptamers domains with similar structures in tandem. The aptamers cooperatively bind glycine to regulate the expression of downstream genes. RNAcentral also lists the same sequence under 1 other name. The record is from Rfam by way of RNAcentral. Lineage: Bacteria; Pseudomonadati; Pseudomonadota; Gammaproteobacteria; Thiotrichales; Piscirickettsiaceae.